RNAcentral lists this ribosomal RNA (465 nucleotides) under uncultured bacterium. RNAcentral describes it as "partial 16S ribosomal RNA". It matches the Rfam family "Bacterial small subunit ribosomal RNA", at positions 28 to 506 of the family's 1533-position model. The record is from RNAcentral.
GAUGAACGCUGGCGGCGUGCUUAACACAUGCAAGUCGAACGAUGAAGCCCAGCUUGCCGGGUGGAUUAGUGGCGAACGGGUGAGUAACACGUGAGUAACCUGCCCUUAACUCUGGGAUAAGCCUGGGAAACUGGGUCUAAUACCGGAUAGGAGCGUCCACCGCAUGGUGGGUGUUGGAAAGAUUUAUCGGUUUUGGAUGGACUCGCGGCCUAUCAGCUUGUUGGUGAGGUAAUGGCUCACCAAGGCGACGACGGGUAGCCGGCCUGAGAGGGUGACCGGCCACACUGGGACUGAGAGACGGCCCAGACUCCUACGGGAGGCAGCAGUGGGGAAUAUUGCACAAUGGGCGCAAGCCUGAUGCAGCGACGCCGCGUGAGGGAUGACGGCCUUCGGGUUGUAAACCUCUUUCAGUAGGGAAGAAGCGAAAGUGACGGUACCUGCAGAAGAAGCACCGGCUAACUACGU